AAAUUUUGCAGAAAAAGUGAAAUAUUGCAAAAAGUAUAAAUGGUAGAAAGGUGAAAAGUAAUAGCCGUAAUGUCCUGAAGGAGUGCAUUAGUAUAAAGUUUGAAUGGUGAAAAUAGCACAAAGUGGUGAGGAGUUGAAAAGGGCCAAAAAAGGUACGGAAGAAUAAUAAUAAUAAUAAUAAUAACUAGAAAAAUUGCAUUUCCUUGCAGAAAAUGCGUGGAAAUGCUGAGUGCUGAAAGCUGAAAAAGCAAUGCAAAACUGCCAAUAAAAAAUGGAGGAAGGUAUAAACGGAAAAACUGUAGAAAAGGUGGAGUAGAAGAAGAAGAAAUUGUAUGAAUGGAAGAAUUGUAGUAUAGCUGGAGGUAAAUUAGUUGGAUUAAUGUACAAAUUGUCUGAUAGCCUAAGUGAAAAAUGUAUAUGAUUGAUGUGAAUAAACAGAACUGAUAUGGAUAAUUGAAUUUGAAAAACAAAUGCCUUUAAACAAUAUGUAACAAUGUUCCUAUUAAAUGUACAAAUAGUAAAACAGAUUUUUGCAGUCUGCAGCAUCCAACCAUAGUAACUUGAGAAUGCAGAACAGCACCAUCUAUUGCCCUGCUUCAGUUACUGCCCUACAUCUGAAUGUAGAAAGUAUGAAACAGCUGAAGUUAAAUUAAUUGUAUAAAUGUAGAAAGUAUAGAAAAGAAAAGCAGAAGUAGAAGAAAAAGAAGAAGUUAGUAUGUUAAAAGAGUUAAAGACAAGAACUGUAACAACAAAGUUCAUAUUGGGGCUGUAUUUUCUACUGACAGAGAGACAGUAAUGCACACAUGGAAACAGUGUGUGUGUGUGUGAAUACAACUUUUGUAGCAGACACGUUGCUGAACAUUUUAAAGCAAAAAUGAGGUCUGUAGGUGAAAGUAUGCAGAAGUUAUAAGGGUGAGAAGGUGUUAUAGCUGUAUCUCCAUUCAUUUGUAAUGGAACAAAUUUUGCAGAAAAAGUGAAAUAUUGCAAAAAGUAUAAAUGGUAGAAAGGUGAAAAGUAAUAGCCGUAAUGUCCUGAAGGAGUGCAUUAGUAUAAAGUUUGAAUGGUGAAAAUAGCACAAAGUGGUAAGGAGUUGAAAAGGGCCAAAAAAGGUACGGAAGAAUAAUAAUAAUAAAGAAAUAGUAGAAUAACAAUAAGUGGAAAUGCUGUGUCAGCAUUUCCACUUAAUAA
Xyrichtys novacula (pearly razorfish) is the source of this 1188-nucleotide non-coding RNA. The record is from the annotation of a GenBank genome assembly. Lineage: Eukaryota; Metazoa; Chordata; Actinopteri; Labriformes; Labridae.